UGAAAGACAAGAACUGAACUUCAAAAUGAGCUUGGUCAUUUUGACAAACGUUAGGAAUAUCUUAGGGAGUAUAGCACGUCAGCCUUGUCAGACAUUACACCGUACCUGUCAGCGUUUUGACUGAUGUACAAGCACUACCUGCUCAUGUUUGCCCUUCCUUUCAGUUGAGUGCACACAGUGUGGCAUGUCUUCAGUCUCAAUUUAUCCAGAUGAACUUGUUCCAUUUUGAAGAGUCCUAUGCCGUAAAUUGUUUUUAUUUAACGAAUUGUCCAGCAAGGAAAGCAUGACCAUCACCUAGAUCCAACUCUUAAUUCUAAUCUCUGCUCCACAAGAUCUCAAGUCAAUUAUCUGUGAUUCAUUUUGUGCUAAGUAGAUGAUGAAAAUCUUUGAACUUGGCUCUUGUUCUCCAAAACAGAAGCGAUUAUAGUUUGCAUGGAUGAUGGUAAU
This is a long non-coding RNA of Mauremys reevesii (Reeves's turtle), 447 nucleotides long. RefSeq lists it as uncharacterized. The record is from RefSeq and is a predicted model, not a curated record. The transcript has 3 exons. Lineage: Eukaryota; Metazoa; Chordata; Testudines; Geoemydidae.